This 253-nucleotide ribosomal RNA is filed under the name uncultured bacterium. RNAcentral describes it as "partial 16S ribosomal RNA". It matches the Rfam family "Bacterial small subunit ribosomal RNA", at positions 524 to 776 of the family's 1533-position model. The record is from RNAcentral.
UACAUGGGGUGCAAACGUUGCUCGGAAUUAUUGGGCGUAAAGCGCGCGUAGGCGGUUGCCUAAGUCGGACGUGAAAGCCCUCGGCUUAACCGAGGAAGUGCAUCCGAAACUGAGCAGCUAGAGUACGAAAGAGGGUCGCGGAAUUCCCGGUGUAGAGGUGAAAUUCGUAGAUAUCGGGAGGAACACCGGCGGCGAAGGCGGCGACCUGGGUCGAGACUGACGCUGAGGCGCGAAAGCGUGGGGAGCAAACAGG